AGAGUUUGAUCCUGGCUCAGGAUGAACGCUGGCGGCGUGCCUAAUACAUGCAAGUCGAGCGAAUGGAUUGAGAGCUUGCUCUCAAGAAGUUAGCGGCGGACGGGUGAGUAACACGUGGGUAACCUGCCCAUAAGACUGGGAUAACUCCGGGAAACCGGGGCUAAUACCGGAUAAUAUUUUGAACUGCAUGGUUCGAAAUUGAAAGGCGGCUUCGGCUGUCACUUAUGGAUGGACCCGCGUCGCAUUAGCUAGUUGGUGAGGUAACGGCUCACCAAGGCAACGAUGCGUAGCCGACCUGAGAGGGUGAUCGGCCACACUAGGACUGAGACACGGCCCAGACUCCUACGGGAGGCAGCAGUAGGGAAUCUUCCGCAAUGGACGAAAGUCUGACGGAGCAACGCCGCGUGAGUGAUGAAGGCUUUCGGGUCGUAAAACUCUGUUGUUAGGGAAGAACAAGUGCUAGUUGAAUAAGCUGGCACCUUGACGGUACCUAACCAGAAAGCCACGGCUAACUACGUGCCAGCAGCCGCGGUAAUACGUAGGUGGCAAGCGUUAUCCGGAAUUAUUGGGCGUAAAGCGCGCGCAGGUGGUUUCUUAAGUCUGAUGUGAAAGCCCACGGCUCAACCGUGGAGGGUCAUUGGAAACUGGGAGACUUGAGUGCAGAAGAGGAAAGUGGAAUUCCAUGUGUAGCGGUGAAAUGCGUAGAGAUAUGGAGGAACACCAGUGGCGAAGGCGACUUUCUGGUCUGUAACUGACACUGAGGCGCGAAAGCGUGGGGAGCAAACAGGAUUAGAUACCCUGGUAGUCC
Molecule: ribosomal RNA, 808 nt
Filed under: uncultured bacterium
Lineage: Bacteria
Description: bacterial SSU rRNA
Rfam family: Bacterial small subunit ribosomal RNA
Source: RNAcentral